Molecule: transfer RNA, 73 nt
Filed under: Camelus bactrianus (Bactrian camel)
Lineage: Eukaryota; Metazoa; Chordata; Mammalia; Artiodactyla; Camelidae
Also listed under: 1 other name
Rfam family: tRNA
About the family: Transfer RNA (tRNA) molecules are approximately 80 nucleotides in length.
Source: Rfam by way of RNAcentral
GAGGGUAUAGUUAAAGUGGUAGAGCCCGUGCUUAGCACGCAAGAGGUGCUGGGUUCAAUCCCCAGUACCUCCA